This is a long non-coding RNA of Heterocephalus glaber (naked mole-rat), 563 nucleotides long. RefSeq lists it as uncharacterized. Lineage: Eukaryota; Metazoa; Chordata; Mammalia; Rodentia; Bathyergidae. The record is from RefSeq and is a predicted model, not a curated record.
CUCCGGGCUGGGUGCGGAGGGUGGAGGGGAGCCACGGCCCUCGGGGUGGCGGGGCUCAGAGGGGUGCGGAUCCUGGCCAGCCGGGCGGGUAGGUGAGGUUUCUACCCUGACCCAGGCCUAGCCCUGACCCUGAUUCUAACCCUAAUCCUAGUCCUGGGGAGAGCAGACAGACGGGAAACGGAGGCUGAGGCUACGCGGCGAUCGCCCUGGGGUAGGGCACCCUCCAGGGUUGGAUGUCAAAGUUUCCUAAAAUACAGAAAAUGAAAAAGGCAAAGUGAAUAUACCUUUGGAGUAGAAAGAGCUUCUCAAAAAGAUGGGCACACAGUAUCUCCUACUGAAGGGGAACAGUUGUCACAGAAGAUGAACCUAUGUGAUGUGGCAUCUUCAUCCAGCAUCCACAGGCGACAUCGGGCCCACACUUCGUGUCUGACCCUGUGGACUGAUGACAUGUGUCCACUGUUGUGGUGUUGUGCCGAGGAGUUUCACUGCCUGGAAAGUCCCCUGUGCUCCACCUGGUCAUCCUCCCUCCUCGCUCUGUAACCACCCAUUAUUUUACCUUUUCC